Molecule: long non-coding RNA, 404 nt
Filed under: Nicotiana benthamiana
Lineage: Eukaryota; Viridiplantae; Streptophyta; Magnoliopsida; Solanales; Solanaceae
Description: long non-coding RNA (NBEN_LNC034569)
Source: RNAcentral
UAUGCGGAAUUUAAAAAUAUGUUGCAAGAAUAAAAAAUACUGCAGGAAUUUAACAAGUGCAGGAAAGUAAAGGAGGCAGAGAUGUAUACUGGUUUACCACACCUUGUGGCUAGUCCAGUCCCCGAGAGACUCUCUCGAGAUUUCCACUAACAACCCUGUCGAGCUUACGGGUGCUCAACAAACCUUUACACUUGAGACUUGAAUCGAACAAGUCUCAAAUACCUGCUUGAGGAUACCUCACCUCAAGACUUCCCUGUUAAGCUUCCGGGUGCCUAACGAACCUUUACAAAAUGAGAACUUGAUACAACACAAGCCUCAAACAACCUACUUAAGGACAUCUAUCCCUAAGACUUCCCAAGAAGAAUUACACUAAUCCCUCUUGCUACAAGUGCUCACAAAGANNN